Molecule: transfer RNA, 71 nt
Filed under: Halorarum halophilum
Lineage: Archaea; Methanobacteriati; Methanobacteriota; Halobacteria; Halobacteriales; Haloferacaceae
Description: Halobaculum halophilum tRNA
Rfam family: tRNA
About the family: Transfer RNA (tRNA) molecules are approximately 80 nucleotides in length. Their secondary structure includes four short double-helical elements and three loops (D, anti-codon, and T loops).
Source: Rfam by way of RNAcentral
GCGUCAGUGGUCCAAUGGUAAGAUAGCGGCCUUCCAAGCCGUAGAUCCCGGUUCGAUUCCGGGCUGUCGCA